UCAGAGCUCCGGCGAAACUGGUGGGUAAUACGCGUAUACGCCCUACGGUGGGCAAAGAUUGUAUCGGUGAAUGGAUCGCGCCCGCGUUAGAUCUAGAUAGUUGGUGGCGGUAAUUGGCCUACCAGAGUUCUACGAUCUAUACGCUGGUCUGAGAAGGAUGAUCAGCCACACCUGGCGACUGAGACACGGCCCAGACUCCAUACGGGAGGCAGCAGUGGGCGAAUCUUGCACAAUGGGCGAAAGCCUGAUGGCAAGCCAUGCCGCGUGAUAUGAUUGAAUCGGCCUUAGGGUUGUAAUAAUUCGUUGUCAUCAGGCGACGAUAACUGACGGUACCUGAAUGAAGAUAGCCCCGGCUAACUUCGUCUGCUCAGCAGCCGCGGUAAUGACGAAGGCGGUGCUCAGCGUUGUAUCGGAAGUUAUCUGCGGUCGUAAAGCGCACGUAUGGCUGGACUUGUUGAAGGUCUGGCGGUGAAAGCCCGGAGCUCAACUCCGCGAACUGCCUUGAGAUACUGGAGAGUCUUCGAGGAUGGUAAUCGAGGUAAGUGGAAUACCGAGUGUACGAAGGUGAUAAUUCGUAGAUAUAUCGGUGGAACAACCAGUGGCCGAAGGCGACAUUACCUGGUCCAGUUUCUGACGGCUGUAAGGUGCGAAUAGUGUGGCGGAGCAAUAUCAGGAUUAGAUACCCUGCGUAAGUCCACAUACCGUAAUACGAUGAACGAGCUAGGUAUGUCGGCAGGUUGUACCUUGUCGGCUGACGCAGCUAACGCAUUAUAGCUCCUCCGCCUGCUGGCGGAGUACGGCCGCAAUGGAUUAAGAACUCAACCAGAAAUUGACGGCGCGGCCCGCACAAGCGGUGGAGCAUGCUGGUUGUAAUUCGAAGCAACGCGCAGAACCUUGACCCACGUUUGAACAUGCCUGGAUGUGAUCUAAGAGAUGUGAUCGUUCCCUUCGGGACCAGUGCACAGGUGCUGCAUUGGCUGUCGUCAGCUCGUGUCGUGAGAUGUUGGCGUUCAAGUCCUCGUCAACGGAGCGCAACCCUCACCCUUGAAGUUGCUAACAGGUCUUGUGCUGAGGAACUCUAAGUGGAACUGCCCGCGUGCGCAAGCGGGAGGAAUAGGUAGGGGAUGACGUCAUAGUCCUCAUUGGCCCUGUAUCGGGCGUGGAGCGCUACACACGCUGCUACAAUGGCAGUGACCAAUGCGGAUAAUCCUCAAAUAAGCUGUCUCACGUUCAGAUUAGGCGGUCUGCAAUCUCGACCCCAUGACUAUGUUGGAAUCGCUAGUCAAAUCGUGGAUCAGCAUGCCAACGGUGGAUACGUUGUCCGGGCCUUGUACACACCGCUCGCGUCAUCACUCAUGGCGCAGUAUGGCAAUUUACGCUCGCAAGGUUGGCCAUUCAUC
This 1400-nucleotide ribosomal RNA is filed under the name uncultured Alphaproteobacteria bacterium. Its description in RNAcentral is "bacterial SSU rRNA". It matches the Rfam family "Bacterial small subunit ribosomal RNA". Lineage: Bacteria; Pseudomonadati; Pseudomonadota; Alphaproteobacteria. The record is from RNAcentral.